RNAcentral lists this ribosomal RNA (433 nucleotides) under uncultured bacterium. RNAcentral's name for it is "partial 16S ribosomal RNA". It matches the Rfam family "Bacterial small subunit ribosomal RNA", at positions 29 to 507 of the family's 1533-position model. The record is from RNAcentral.
AGCGAACGCUGGCGGCAGGCCUAACACAUGCAAGUCGAACGAACUCUUCGGAGUUAGUGGCGGACGGGUGAGUAACACGUGGGAACGUGCCUUUUGGUUCGGAAUAACUCAGGGAAACUUGUGCUAAUAUCGAAUGCGCCCUUCGGGGGAAAGAUUUGUCGCCAUUGGGGCGGCACGCGUCUGAUUAGCUAGGUGGUGAGGUAACGGCUCACCAAGGCGACGAUCAGUAGCUGGUCUGAGAGGAUGACCAGCCACACUGGGACUGGGACACGGCCCAGACUCCUACGGGAGGCAGCAGUGGGGAAUCUAGCGCAAUGGGCGGAAGGCUGACGCAGCCAUGCCGCGUGAAUGAUGAAGGUCUUAGGAUUGUAAAAUUCUUUCACCGGGGACGAUAAUGACGGUACCCGAAGAAGAAGCCCCGGCUAACUUCGUG